GACGAACGCUGGCGGCGUGCUUAACACAUGCAAGUCGAACGAGGCUCCUUCUUCGGUUGGGGUUCUAGUGGCGAACGGGUGAGUAACACGUGGGCAACCUGCCCCUGGCUCUGGGAUAACUCCAAGAAAUUGGGGCUAAUACCGGAUAUGACCGCUGAUCGCACGGUCUGGUGGUGGAAAGAUUUAUCGGCUGGGGAUGGGCCCGCGGCCUAUCAGCUUGUUGGUGGGGUAGUGGCCUACCAAGGCGACGACGGGUAGCCGGCCUGAGAGGGUGACCGGCCACACUGGGACUGAGACACGGCCCAGACUCCUACGGGAGGCAGCAGUGGGGAAUAUUGCGCAAUGGGCGAAAGCCUGACGCAGCGACGCCGCGUGGGGAUGACGGCCU
RNAcentral lists this ribosomal RNA (388 nucleotides) under uncultured bacterium. Its description in RNAcentral is "bacterial SSU rRNA". It matches the Rfam family "Bacterial small subunit ribosomal RNA", at positions 28 to 417 of the family's 1533-position model. The record is from RNAcentral.